UCUAGUUCUAAGGUCUCAGCCUUGCAAUGCUCUCUGCAAACUCACAAAAACCUUUCCCUGCGCAACACAUGCAAACAGGUGUCCUUCCUUCCAGAUGAAUCAGAACGGAUUCCCAUCAAACAUGCCACUCUGAUGGCUGUGUGUUUGUUCAGUGGUGUAUCUUAGGUGAGCUCGGCUCUACAGUCCUAGCCGACCCUCCUUCAUAUAUUCAGCACGGUAUUUCACAGUGUGCAUACAUUCAUUGUGGGGGCACUAGGCCUUGUGUUUAAUGUUGUACAUUAAUUUAUUUAAAUAGGCAACCCAGGAGUUGGACUCCAUGACCAUUCUCACUGUCCACUGGUAGGGUUGGAGGCAGGCACAAGCUGAGUGACCUCAAAGGGCAGAGUAAUUAGUUGCUGAGAGCUAUUCUAUUGGGAGUCUGCUAAGUUACUAUACGGAGGAACGAGGCCAUGGUCAGUGCUGCUCAAUGGGUGUCUCACCCUUCCCAUGCUGGGCCUUUGCAGUGACGUUUAAACCAUGCCAAUCCGAUCUCAGAGUGGUUGGCCCUGAAGGGCUGCUGGUCUGAAAAGAGGAUGUCAUUUCUUCUUGUCCCAGGGUCUACAUUGUGAGCUCACUUGUUGCACGUGGAGGCCAUGCCACCGGAGUUUUCUACCAACAGGAGCACCUGGGCAGCUCAGAAAUGAAGUCGAUGGCUACUAAGUCCUUGGUACCUGCUGACCAUGGUUGAAUCCAGGACACAGACUCUUCCAACAGAGGCUGACACUCUUGCCAACUUCCCAAGCAUCUUAGGGGCAAUCCCUACUUUGCAAACUCACAACAGGGAAGUGGAUGGUGGAAGCCAGGAGGGCCCGGAAGUGCCCAUUUCUUUCUGCUCUCCUAUUACUGGCUGUGAGAAGAAAUGGGAAGUGACUGCCUGAGUAUGAGGAGUCCAAGAAUAUAGCUGGGAAGGCAAUGCUCAAAAGGGGGAGAUAGUUUUAGAUCUUUCUAUGGGUGCCUGGAGUGAGAAUCUUCUCUGUUAAUUUGGGGAAUUAACAGAACACCCUCAGUUUUUUCCACAGACUUGUUAAGAAUUAACUGGCUCUUUCUUCUCUCUUUGCCUAAAUCACCACAAGUCCAGAUUCGAAGUGACUGUCUGCAUGUUUUGCCAUCUAAAGAAAGCAAUGGAGUGUGACAAAUAGAGAGAGAGUCUUCUCUUUCAGUGCCAGAAAAUCUCUAGGGAUACACAUGUGCUCACAAAAUGUCCUGGUGAAAAAUCUGAUGCUCUCCUCUGGGGAAACACA
Molecule: long non-coding RNA, 1280 nt
Organism: Alexandromys fortis (reed vole)
Lineage: Eukaryota; Metazoa; Chordata; Mammalia; Rodentia; Cricetidae
Exons: 2
Source: RefSeq, a predicted model, not a curated record